RNAcentral lists this ribosomal RNA (478 nucleotides) under uncultured bacterium. RNAcentral's name for it is "partial 16S ribosomal RNA". It matches the Rfam family "Bacterial small subunit ribosomal RNA", at positions 28 to 507 of the family's 1533-position model. The record is from RNAcentral.
GAUGAACGCUGGCGGCGUGCUUAACACAUGCAGGUCGAACGAGAAGUGAAGACGGAAACCUUCGGGCGGAAGGCUUUAUUUCGAGUGGCGGACGGGUGAGUCACGCGUGGGUAACCUGCCUCAUACAGGGGGAUAACAGUUGGAAACGACUGUUAAUACCGCAUAAGACCACAGCACCGCAUGGUGCGGGGGUAAAAACUCCGGUGGUAUGAGAUGGACCCGCGUUCGAUUAGCCAGUUGGCGGGGUAACGGCCCACCAAAGCGACGAUCGAUAGCCGAUCUGAGAGGAUGACCGGCCACAUUGGGACUGAGACACGGCCCAAACUCCUACGGGAGGCAGCAGUGGGGAAUAUUGCAAAAUGGGGGAAACGCUGAUGCAGCGACGCCGCGUGAGUGAAGAAGUAUUUAGGUAUGUAAAGCGCGAUCAGCAGGGAAGAAAAUGACGGUACCUGAGUAAGAAGCCCCGGCUAACUACGUG